UACGAAGGGGGCUAGCGUUGCUCGGAAUCACUGGGCGUAAAGGGCGCGUAGGCGGCCAUUCAAGUCGGGGGUGAAAGCCUGUGGCUCAACCACAGAAUUGCCUUCGAUACUGUUUGGCUUGAGUAUGGUAGAGGUCAGUGGAACUGCGAGUGUAGAGGUGAAAUUCGUAGAUAUUCGCAAGAACACCAGUGGCGAAGGCGGCUGACUGGACCAUACUGACGCUGAGGCGCGAAAGCGUGGGAGCAAACAGG
This 251-nucleotide ribosomal RNA is filed under the name uncultured bacterium. RNAcentral describes it as "partial 16S ribosomal RNA". It matches the Rfam family "Bacterial small subunit ribosomal RNA", at positions 524 to 776 of the family's 1533-position model. The record is from RNAcentral.